Molecule: long non-coding RNA, 6185 nt
Organism: Orcinus orca (killer whale)
Lineage: Eukaryota; Metazoa; Chordata; Mammalia; Artiodactyla; Delphinidae
Exons: 2
Source: RefSeq, a predicted model, not a curated record
CGACGGGAAAAAAAAAAAAAAAAUCAGUCUUUUUUUUUUUUUUUCCCCUCCCUAAAAUGAUCAAAAGGCUCUCUCUCCGGCCAGCGCCCGGGCAGUUUCGGCCACCUUGGCCCUGGCAGAUCCACAAUGAGAGAGCAGGGGUGGGGGAAGGAGGAGAAAGAACUCGCGGGGGCUCGGGCGCCCGAGCAGAAGGAGCAGGAGAACGGGCAGGCGACAGCGCACGGCGGUGGAGAGCCCCUCGAUCAAUUUUCAUGCAAGAAUCAUUAUCGGUAAAUUGGAAAGCUGGCUGCCUGACAGCAAAUUUGUCUCCCCUAAUGAAAGCGAAAGGGUAGGGGCGCAGCGGCUGGCGGCUGCAGGCGGCGGCGGCUCCUUCCGUCUCUACGCGGCAUCUUCCAAGAGCUCCAUGCUUCGCAGGGCGAUAAUAAUAGUUUCACUUGCGAGCUUCCCCCCGCGCGGCUGCCGCGCCGGGCAGCAUAUCCACGCGGACCGGGAUCGGGGCGCAGAGAGCCGGGUUCCCCUCUGCCAACGCGGGGAGAGUGAUGCUGCUGGCGGCGGGGUGCUCCCCUCUGCCCCGAAGCGGGGGCCGUUUGCAAACUGUGGGCGGCUGCGGGCGCCGCCGGUCCCCCCUCCGGCUGCCCAACUCCGCGCUCUGGCCGCCCGCCCGCCCGCCCCUCCUCCCUCCCUCCCCACCCACGUCUGACAGCUGCGGGAGCUGGGAGUUCACCCGCCGCCGGGGCCUGGGAGAAGGGUCCCCAAGUCGUGCUCCGGGAGCUCUGGCCCGCCUUUUGUGAAACCCACACGGGGCUGCAGAAACACACCGGCCCGGCCCAGGGUGAGCUCCUAAGGACAGCGGCUGCCUUCUCUCCUUCUUUUCCUCUCACCCCCCCACCCCUCAAAAAUCCCUGUUGCAAGUGUAAUCAAAUGCUUGAUACCAUCUCCCACACUCUCCCUGAACUGCUUGCAUUAUCAGAUCCGGGAAGGCAUGCUUCCAGGCAAAUAGACCUAAUAAAUGCUAUUACUGGGCUUCUGCAACCCCGGCUGCACCAUAGUAACGAGAGCCCUGGCUAAUUUGGUUGAAGAAAACGACCAACUGCACAGAGUGUGUGUGAGCGAGUGUGGAGCCUGUAUCCCUCCUCCCCACCCGCCUCCCUUUCACACCAGCUCACGAAGGCCCCAUGUGAUAAUUCCCCAAAUCGAAGGGGGAAAAACCCUGCCGCCAAACCACAUCCUGUGCGCUCGUUGUCCAGCCCAGCGAUUUUAAAGAGACAGGACCCAUUUCCCCACGCCCGCACACACACUUAAACGCACGCUGCAAAGCUGCCUCUUGAUGUGACAAUUUAUUUUCAAGCCCUUUUACCUUAUGAAGGGCCGGUCCCUCAGUGGCACAACCAACCGGAAUCGCGACUUCGUAACACUAAGGGGUCACCUUUUGACCCCAGAUACAAUCACCUUUGUCUGUGGAACAGACCUGAGCCUGCAGGUACGCACCGCAGGUCACCGCGGCCACGACAGGCUUGGGUUCCCGCCAACGCUUUCCAGCCGCUGCGUAAAUCAGGGGUCCCCAGAGGCAGCCCCGGGGGUCCCUACUAAACGCGGCGGCUUCGGGUGACAAUUGCACUCCUGGAAUAUGAUACUCUAGAGGGCGAACUGGAGGAGGUGGGCGGACUCCGCGUGCCUUCCGACCCCUCUCUGCCACUCACCCCCCCCCACGCCCACCCUGCAAGAAUAUCUUAAAUGGGCUGGGCGGAGCGCUCGGAGCCAAGGGAGGGGUGGCGCUCCUCCCCGCCGCCACCAACGUCUGGGUGGGUGCAGCGCGCAGGCGGCUGCCUUCUCCGCCCGCUGGGCCGCCGGGGGUGCGAGGAGCAUCUUUGAAUCCCCCAGCCCCCGCGGCGCCCCGCCUGGCGCCCCCUCCCCGCGGGCGGCCGAGCGCGCGCGGGCACCCGGGAGGGCGCUGGGGCUGCUGACCCGGAGGAAACGGGCCGCUCGGGGCCGCCGGCGCCCGCCGCCAGCAUCUGGCCGCUCCGCCCCGCGCUGACCCCGGAGGUCACGCCCGGCCCUCGGCGGCGGCGGCCCUUUGUUUCCGGGGCUGCGUGGCGGCGCGCUCAGCACUCCUCGCGCCUCCUCCUGCGCCCGCCGCCGCCUGCGGCCCUGCGAGGGAGACAACGGCCUGGCACGGCGGGGUCGGGGUCCAGCACCUGCCCGCCCGACCCCGGACCAGCGUCCGUUUCCCAGCCCGCCUUCGCCUCCCACCCACAUAUUUGAUCAUCUGUGCCCUUCUGGGAGUCGGUGGGGGGGGGGCACCAAGGCGCACAACGGACAGCCCAGGCGAGCAGCUGCCCACCCCCCCUGACUCCUCAUAAGCUCGGAAAAUCUCUGAUUCUACUUGGGGGAAAAGAGAACUAUUUUUCAAAGAUCCUAACCUAUCAGUUUCUGUUGUCAUUCUUUUAUUGGUUUUUAAUUCUCCGGGAUUACACGAACAACAGUAGUAAUUAAUACUAAACCUUCCUCUACUGUAUAUGCUAAUGGCAGAAGCCAUAAAAAUUAAUUUGCAAACAUGUCAUUACACAAUAGCUGUACAGGCAAUAAACCUGUAAUUAUGGGCCAAUCACAGGCAGGGUACAGAGGGAGGGAUGCUCCCCCAAUCUGCUGGGUGCCCCCCUUCCCCUGCUAUAGUAGAGAAGAUGGUACCAGAAAGAAGCUUGCCUGCUGGGAGCCACCUGUGGAGAAUGCGCCCAGACUGGGGAUGGCAGAAGGGGUCUUUAGUCUUGAGUUCUAAUGGCUUGGCUUCUAUACAAGGCCCCCUGGAGACAGCCACUCCAGGGGAGACUGAAACUGUGGGAGGAGAGGCACGGUGAAGCCUUGGAGAGCUCCCGGGCCUGGCUGGCUGGCUGGUGGUGGGUGAGCAGAAGAGGGGGAGGGGGCAGAGAGAACAGGACUUCCCGGGUGGCGCAGUGGCUAAGAAUCCGCCUGUCAUUGCAGCGCACACGAGUUCAAGCCCUGGUCCGGGAAGAUCCCCACGUGCCACGAAGCAACUAAGCCCGUGCGCCACAACUACUGAGCCCACGCACCACAACUACUGAAGCCCCCGCACCUGGAGCCCGUGCUCCACAACAAGAGAAGCCACGGCGAUGAGAAGCCCUGCGCUCACGGCAACUAGAGAGAGCCCACGCGCAACAACGAAGACCCAAUGCAGCCAAAAAUAGAUAAGAUAAAUUAAUUUUUUAAAAAAAGGGAGAGAGGGAAUAGGAGACCCCACACUGGCAGGCCAGCACCCGUUUAUCUUUGCUUCCCGGUCAAAAGGCAAACAUCUCCCCCCCCAAUAAGUAGUUGAAGGCCUGCAUCAAAUUAUCUCAAAAUGCUCAGGCCAAGCCCUAAUUGCUUUUAGCCACUCCCUGGGGCAGGAGGUGAGCUGUGAGAUUCGAGCGAUACCCUAAGUCUCCUUUGGCCCUGCGUCUGGGUGGCUCAGAGUAGGUUAUUGACAUUUCCUGGUGACAGGGACGUUUAUAACGGAGGAAAAUAUGAAACCUACCAUGGGAGGGUGGCUGCACCACAGCUCCCGACCUGAUGCCAAAACAGCUGAAAAGUAUAAAGCACCCCCGCCAUGCCAAGCAGCCUGCUUAACGGGCUGCCUCGCCACUGAAUGGCUCGGUUGUUUGCCAUAACGUGGCUGAACGGGGGGGAGCUGGAAGGAUUUUUCCUUUCCCACCGGCCCUUGUGGCUUGGCUGUCAUUUUUGGAACCCAUCACUAAGGCCAUUCAUUUCCAGGGGACUCGCCCCUCCUCGGACGGUGCCUAUGGCCUGGCUAGAGGCGGAGGGGCAGCCAGUCUGGGCCCACACGUGGACCAGCUGCCAGGUGCCCAAGGUGAGAAGGACAGCACUCUUCUGGGGAUUUCAGUUCCGCGGGAUCAUCUGCAAGGACGGGUUGCCUCUCUCCAUCCCCGUUUCUCUUCCAGAGCCUGGUCACGGCAAUACCCUCCUGCUCUCCCGGCUCACACCUCUGGGGAGGAGUCGGGCAUUUAUAGAAGAAAGGCAGCAAUCGAUGCCACUGAAGGGCAAACUCAUGCCCACCUCCCUGAGAGACCCCUGCCCACGCUGCCAGCCAACCCAGGGGGAGAGGGAAGCGCUGGGCCUGUCCUGGGCCCAGUGGAAAGAAAAGGAAAGCGCAGCGCUUCAUGUCUCAAUGGGAAACAAGCUGGGGGCGGGCUGCUUCUUGGAAGCCGCGUGGAGCUCACCAGACACCCCCCAGCCAAGAUGCGGGGGGGGAGGCCCUCCUUCCCCCUCUCCCCGGCUGCACCUUCAAAAUGGAGGGGCCCCAGACUCCCUCUAGCGGGCCUGCCAUUGCCACAGCACAGAGACAGCCUAGCCGGCCAAGAGCGUCAGCUGAAUGCAGUAAAAAUAGCCUCCCAGCACGUGCUGCAAACGCUGAGGCCGCAGACUGGGUCUGGAUGUGCAGCGGUGUAGUGCCCGGCUCUGAGCGGGAGAGCCCAGUGCCUCUGUGUGCCCACUGGCACUCUGGUGGCGGCCCAGGCCAGGCUGCGACCUCACCUUUCUGGAGGGGGCACUGCUCCCCAAGGAUUCCAGGGAAAGAAGGCGAGGGGAGGCUGGGAGGCCACGUGACUAAGCUGAAAUGCCCCUUUAGGUCUGCCCCCUCCAUUUCCCUCCCUGGGAUAAUCAUGCCAGCUGAUUGCUGUUCUGAGCGCUCUUCACAGAGAGCUCAUUAGAUCCUCAUGACAACUGUGUUCAAGGUCACCCUUAGGAGUUCCAUUUUCUAGAUGAGGCCCAGAGAGGCCAAGCAUCUUGCCCAAGGACACACAGCCAGGAAAGGGCAGAGCCGGGAUUUGAAGCUGAGCUGGUUCCAGAGUCCAUGUUCAUAACCAUCAGCUUGGAGUCGGACAUACCAGAGUUCAAAUUCUGGCUGGGCCCCCCACCCACCGUGUGCCCCCAGGCAGUGACAUCACCAUUUGAAAAUGCCUCAGUUGCCUCACCUGGAAAAUGGGAUGAAAUCAGCCCUGCGUUCCAGGAAGAUGCGGGUGUGUAACCACUCUGGUGCCUGGCACAGAAUAAGGACUCCAUAAAUAGAGCUGUAAAUGACUGUGUUUGGGAUAAUAGUGAUAAUAGCAAUAAUAGCAGUUACCACGGGCAGGGCCUCAGGACAGCCACGCUACUAGCUUUGCUAAGGGCUUUAUCUUAUCUGGAACCUGCCCCCACCCCAAGGGGCAGACCUACAAUGACCAUCACCCCGAUCUGCACACGAGGACGCAGAGGCCCCAGGAGGUGAAGCCACUCACCCAAGGGCACCCAGGGAGUAGACACACCCGCUUUCUCCCUCCGUCCAGCUCUGGUCCUUAGGUGACUGGACAUGAGUGAAAGUUCUGUCUCAAGAUAAGCAAGUCUGAGCUUGAAAGAGAAAGGGAGAACUUCUGCCCCGUCAAGGUGAUGUCUGCAAACCCAGGUUUUGUUUCCAUCUUGGCCUGGUGUGUUUACUUCUGCUUUCCUCUGCCAGUGGCUCCAGGCUCCCCACCCAGGGAGUGCUCCCAGGCUUCCCACGGCCUUGUCCACCUGUCCUGGUAUGAUGGGCUAAUGGUGGCCCGCCAAAGUAUAUGUCCACCUGGAACCAUGAAUUGGACCUUAACUGGAAAAGGAGUCUAGGGACUUCCCUGGUGGCACAGUGGUUGAGACUCCACACUCCCAAUGCAGGGGGCCCGGGUUCGAUCCCUGGUCAGGGAACUAGAUCCCACGUGCAUGCCGCAACUAAGGAGCCCACGUGCCACAACUAAGGAGCUCGCGAGCUGCAACUAGGACCCGGUGCAACCAAAUAAAUAAAUAUUUUUUAAAAAAAGAAAGAAAGAAAAGGAGUCUGUGCAGGUGUAAUUAAGUUAAGGACCUCGAGUUGACAUCAUCCUGAGUCAUCAGGGUGCGCCCUAAAACCAAUGGCAAGUAACCUUAUAAAAAGAGAAGCAGACAGAAGAGAAGACACAAGGGAAAAUGCCGUGUAAAGACGGAGGCAGAGGUUGGAGGGAAGCAGCCAUAAGCCAAGGACACUUGGAGCCCCCAGGAGCUGGAAGAGACGGGAAGGACCCUCCCCUACGGCCGCUAUAGGGAGGAUGGUGGCCCUGCUGACACCUUGACUUCAGAUUUCUGGCCUCCAGAACUGCGAGAGAAUAAAUUUCUGAUGUUUCAAGCCA